Molecule: ribosomal RNA, 1593 nt
Filed under: Amphisorus kudakajimaensis
Lineage: Eukaryota; Foraminifera; Miliolida; Soritidae
Description: SSU rRNA
Rfam family: Eukaryotic small subunit ribosomal RNA
Source: RNAcentral
AUUGUAUUGACUUUGUAAGUUAUAAGAUGUUAGAGUUAGGAUAACUAAGGGAAAGUUUGGCUAAUACGUUUAAAUAUACAAAUAUGUAUAUAUGCAUAUAAUAAUAUUGCAACAUGAUAGAUAUUAUAUAAAUAUAAAUACAUUUUAUAUGUAUUAAUAUAGAGCAGACUUUAUAAUAUUUAUUUAUUAUAAAGCAUGUCAAACAAGCAUCUAUAGCAUCAAGUCACAAUGUUGGCAUGUGUAUUAUUGAACCUUCAAAGCAUUUACGCAUUCGGAGGAGUAGUUUCUGAUCCCGUCGAAGGUGCCUGAGAGACGGCACUUAGUUCUAAGGAACGCAGCAGGCGCGUAAAUUGCCCAAUGACAAAACAUAUAAUUGAGGCAGUGACAAGCUGUAAAGAUUGAAUAUAUUAAUUAAGAUAACAUUUGGAAUUGUCGCUUUGUAAUAUUUUAAUAUUAUAUUGCUUGAUAAUAUACCAAUGUUAUAAAAUAUUCAAUUUGAAUGCGGUGAAUAUAAUAAUUUCAAGUAACAUGUAUAAAAUAUUUAUUAUUUUAUAUGUUAUCUGAAUAUUCAAGUGGAGGGCAAGUCUGGUGCCAGCAGCCGCGGUAAUACCAGCUCCACUAGCUUAUACAAUCAUUGUUGCGGUUAAGAGGCUCGUAGUUGGAUUGAAUAUAUUUAUUAAUACUGUGAACAAACCAAAGUGUAUAAAACAUGUAAUAUUAUAUAUAUUAUGCAAUGAAUGUUUUAUCAUGGAAUAUUGUUUAUUUCGAUGGAGAUAGUUGGAGUUAAGAGUACUUAUAGGCGAGCGGUGAAAUGCAUUGACCCUAUUAAGACUAACAAAAGCGAAAGCACUUAACUAGAUUAUACUCUUUGUAUAUUAUUACAAUGAAGAGCGAAGGUUGGGGGAACAAAGAGGAUCAGAUACCCUCGUAGUCCUAUUUUUUACAUCAAACUAUGGGAUUUCAAUUGAAUAAUAUAUUAUUUUAUUACCCCUAACAUAUUUAAUAUUUAUUGAUUGAGAUAAAUAUUUAUCUCUCAUAAAAUAUAAAAUAAAUGUGGUACAAUAUUUAUUAUAUGUACUUUGAGCUCAUAUAAUUAAUAUAGGUGAGAUGUAAGCAUUAUAGGUGAACAAUAUAUUUAUAUUCUAAAUAUUAUUGGAAUCCUUAUAAAUAAAUGUAAUGUGAUGCACGUUUUAGGUACGAGCUUACUAUAGAAAUAUUUAAAAUAAUACCCUCCUGGGGUAGUAUGCACGCACGUGUGAAACUUGAAGGAAUUGACGGAAGGGCACCACAAGAACGCGUGGAGCAUGUGGCUUAAUUUGACUCAACCCGGGAAAUCUUACCAGGUCCAGACAUAUUGAGGAUUGACAGGCGAUAAUUAAUACAUGUUUACAUGUAUUAGUAUAAAAAUGAUAGUCCUUUCAUGAUUAUAUGAUAGGUGGUGCAUGGCCGUUCUUAGUUCGUGGAGUGAUUUGUCUGCUUAAUUGCGUUUCAGUAAAUAAAAUAUAUAAUAUGUAUUAAUAUUUUAGUUCUGCCAUUUUUAUAAAUGGAUUUAAAGUGAACAAUAUUAUACAUAAUAUAUUAAUAUAUGAAUGC